Molecule: non-coding RNA, 418 nt
Organism: Lolium perenne
Lineage: Eukaryota; Viridiplantae; Streptophyta; Magnoliopsida; Poales; Poaceae
Source: RefSeq, a predicted model, not a curated record
AGGCUACUUGCCGAGCUACUUCAGUUCGGAGUGGUCGCUGGCUCAGUUCCGGCUCCCCGAAGGCGUCAAGUACUCGGUGGCGUUCGAGCCGAAAAAUAACAACACCAUUCUCAUCAUCGGCACCAACGGAAGCUUCUACCGGUGCCAGUUCGACCCCGAGAACGCAGGCGACAUGGUGCAGCUGUUGCACAGAAAAUUCAUGAAGAUCAACUAGUCAGGCAACAAUGGGAGAAUUAUAGGUUAACUAGGAAGAACCUUAGAGUGGGCUACUAACUAUUCUGAGAGCCCAUUUAGGUGAGCAUUAUGAGAGAAUUAUCAUUAUGAAGUGAUCUGUGUAGUAGUAAGCCAUGAACAUUUCCCAAAUUGAACAUGUGCCCCUUUCUGUAUAUAAGCACUGAGCCUCUCUAUACAUUUGCCA